AUUGAACGCUGGCGGCAUGCUUUACACAUGCAAGUCGAACGGCAGCGCGGGCUUCGGCCUGGCGGGGAGUGGCGAACGGGUGAGUAAUACAUCGGAACGUGCCCAGUAGUGGGGGAUAGCUCGGGAAAGCCGGAUUAAUACCGCAUACGACCUGAGGGUGAAAGCGGGGGAUCUUCGGACCUCGCGCUAUUGGAGCGGCCGAUGGCAGAUUAGCUAGUUGGUGGGGUAAAGGCCUACCAAGGCGACGAUCUGUAGCUGGUCUGAGAGGACGACCAGCCACACUGGGACUGAGACACGGCCCAGACUCCUACGGGAGGCAGCAGUGGGGAAUUUUGGACAAUGGGCGAAAGCCUGAUCCAGCAAUGCCGCGUGUGUGAUGAAGGCCUUCGGGUUGUAAAGCACUUUUGGCGGGAACG
Molecule: ribosomal RNA, 416 nt
Filed under: Lautropia mirabilis
Lineage: Bacteria; Pseudomonadati; Pseudomonadota; Betaproteobacteria; Burkholderiales; Burkholderiaceae
Description: bacterial SSU rRNA
Rfam family: Bacterial small subunit ribosomal RNA
Source: RNAcentral